This is a long non-coding RNA of Talpa occidentalis (Iberian mole), 1503 nucleotides long. RefSeq lists it as uncharacterized. The transcript is spliced from 6 exons. The record is from RefSeq and is a predicted model, not a curated record. Lineage: Eukaryota; Metazoa; Chordata; Mammalia; Eulipotyphla; Talpidae.
GGUCCUCCAGGGCACGUGCUUCGUGGCUACUUCCGGUCAGCUUUCCUCACACGUGGCCUCAGCCUGGUAACAACCAGGGGGCAGGAUGGUUCCUCCUUCAGGGGCAGGCAACCAGGACCCUGAGAAGCAGGUGUUCCUCUCACCACCGAGCAGAUGACCCGGGGCAGAACCAGACUUAGGUCCUACCUAAUUCCAAAGUUGGGGUCUCAGCCACUAGCAGGGGGUUGGGCCUGGAGCCCGAAGGAGGCCGACCCCUGGAGGCUGGAGAGGCAGUCUCUUCAGUGCCUGAAUCACCUAACUCUUAGGGGACUCAGAGGGACACUGGGAGCAGGACCAGGGUCCAGCCAAACCCCAGAUCCCCAGGAGCAGCGCCAGGGAUCCACAGCUGCUCUGCACCCCCCCACCCCUGCCCCUCAGCCAGCCAGGAGGCGCAUCUCAUCCCUGAGCACACACCGUUUCCCCAGGCCGGCGCCAUCGCAGGGCACCCUCUAGCCCAGCGGCGAGGACUGAGCAUCUGCAGCUGGCAGCCUGGGCUUGCUGGAAAUCAAGCUCCGGUCUGGUCACCGGGGAGUCUGCAUCCUUCCAAGAGCAUUUGUUUAUUCAACGAUAUCGGAUUGUUUGCCUCCCCUGGGCUGCAAGUUCUUUGAAGGCAGGGACAAAUCGCUGCAUCUCCAUUGUUUUGUACAAAGAAAAGCAAGCCAUCCCUGCCACCCAGGGGCCGGCGGGCCCUCUCAGGAGGCACCUCAUUCUCCUGCUGGACACAAACCACCUCCCGGAAUGGCAAGGUCAGCCAACUGAAGUCUGAGACUAUGGGAAGCACCACUUCUCAGCAAUCCUACGAGCUGGGCACUGCAAUUUCCAUCAUUAUUUGGAUCUGGAAAUUAAGACUUCAAGAGGCUAACAAAAUACUCUCAGUUACCAAGGGGUGGAGAAGAAACCACACCAGGUCUGGGGUGCUCCUGCUAUAAAAGAAGUUUGGAUGCAAAGGAAAAACAGACCUGCAAGAAGCUGAUACAGCUUCCUCUGACCAUCCUAGCUCACCACCCAACGCACCGCCAUCAACUUCAUCUGCUUGAUAUCCAACAUGGCGCCGAUGAUGGGCAGAGACUGGACUGCAUUACUUGCUUAAUUAUCUGUGUCUUUGUUUCCCAUCCCCACCACUGGAAGAUUUUUUGCAGGUGGUCUCAUCAGCCCCAGAGGGGGUCUCACGCUGCCGUUCCCAGAGCCACCGCCUGUCUGAGAUGUCACCACUGAACAUGGCACCGACUGGCCACCAUCAAUCAGCCUGGAGUCCAUCCCUUUUCAACGCCAUGGCUCCUGCCAGCUUCAAGAUAGCAUUUGUUCUUGGGGGCUUCCAAAAAUAUUGACAGUUCUUGGAAAAGAUUCAACGCUAAUUUUGGGGACUUUCUCUUUUUCCUUUCCAUGGUGACAGCUUUGCUGACAGCAGGAAACCAGGCAUUUCUGCUGUUUAAAUGGUAGCUUUUUUAAAAAAAAAAAAGUGGU